CGGAAAGCGCUGGGCGGGCCAGGCGCAAUAUCGCUGUGCGGAUUGCAUCGGCGAGCCGCCGCCGUUCGAGGCGACUUUUGCGC
This 83-nucleotide transfer RNA is filed under the name Paraburkholderia domus. RNAcentral describes it as "Paraburkholderia sp. LMG 31832 tRNA-Asp". The record is from RNAcentral. Lineage: Bacteria; Pseudomonadati; Pseudomonadota; Betaproteobacteria; Burkholderiales; Burkholderiaceae.